CCUACGGGGGGCAGCAGUGAGGAAUAUUGGUCAAUGGGCGGAAGCCUGAACCAGCCAAGUCGCGUGAGGGAAUAAGGCCCUACGGGUCGUAAACCUCUUUUGCCGGGGAGCAAGGGCGGGGACGUGUCCCGGCCCGGAGAGUACCCGGAGAAAAAGCAUCGGCCAACCCCGUGCCAGCAGCCCCGGUAAUACGGAGGAUGCGAGCGUUUUCCGGUUUGUUUGGGUUUAAAGGGUGCUUAGUCGGGCUUUAAAGUCACCGGUAAAAAUUCGGGGCUCAACCCCGUCCGGCCGUUGAAACUGGGGGCCGUGAGUGGGCGAGAAGAAGGCGGAAUGCGUGGGGUAGCGGUGAAAUGCAUAGAUAUCACGCAGAACCCCGAUUGCGAAGGCAGCCUUCCGGCGCCCUACUGACGCUGAGGCACGAAAGUGCGGGGAUCGAACAGGAUUAGAUACCCGGGUAGUC
Molecule: ribosomal RNA, 460 nt
Filed under: uncultured bacterium
Lineage: Bacteria
Description: partial 16S ribosomal RNA
Rfam family: Bacterial small subunit ribosomal RNA
Source: RNAcentral